RNAcentral lists this ribosomal RNA (429 nucleotides) under uncultured bacterium. Its description in RNAcentral is "bacterial SSU rRNA". It matches the Rfam family "Bacterial small subunit ribosomal RNA", at positions 355 to 775 of the family's 1533-position model. The record is from RNAcentral.
UGGGGAAUAUUGGGCAAUGGGCGAAAGCCUGACCCAGCGACGCCGCGUGGGUGAUGAAGGCCUUCGGGUUGUAAAACCCUUUCGUGCGGAAAGAAUAGUCUCGUAGCGAAUAACUACGGGAUUUGACGGUACCGCAGGAAGAAGCACCGGCUAACUCCGUGCCAGCAGCCGCGGUAAUACGGAGGGUGCAAGCGUUGUUCGGAAUUAUUGGGCGUAAAGGGCGCGUAGGUGGUUGUGAUAGUCAGAUGUGAAAUCCUUCGGCUCAACCGAAGAACUGCAUCUGAAACUUCAUAGCUCGAGUACAGGAGAGGGAAACGGAAUUCCCGGUGUAGAGGUGAAAUUCGUAGAUAUCGGGAGGAACACCAGUGGCGAAAGCGGCCUCCUGGUCCGCAACUGACGCGCAGACGCGAAAGCUAGGGUAGCAAACGG